Non-coding RNA from Schistosoma mansoni, 45 nucleotides. NCBI's taxonomy places the organism in Eukaryota, Metazoa, Platyhelminthes, Trematoda, Strigeidida, Schistosomatidae. The record is from Rfam.
AUCCAGCUGACGAGUCCCAAAUAUAGCGAAAUGCACAUCCUGGAU